Molecule: microRNA, 21 nt
Filed under: Oryza sativa (Asian cultivated rice)
Lineage: Eukaryota; Viridiplantae; Streptophyta; Magnoliopsida; Poales; Poaceae
Description: osa-miR5521
Source: miRBase by way of RNAcentral
AGUGGCUGCAUAUCUGAUGAG